Molecule: non-coding RNA, 2355 nt
Organism: Phoenix dactylifera (date palm)
Lineage: Eukaryota; Viridiplantae; Streptophyta; Magnoliopsida; Arecales; Arecaceae
Source: RefSeq, a predicted model, not a curated record
UUAUCUCAGUCUGGUGAAAGUUUUUCGAUUGCGUUCUACAUUAUACUGUUUCACAUCGCUGUUGCAGUUGUAUAAAAUACAUUGCUAAGUUUGCGCUUCUUUGUAGACUGCAGUUAGAGAACCUGCCUCUAAAAUUUUCUCUUUCUUUAUAUGUUUCCAGAUUAUUUAUGGUCCGUGGAAAAUUAUAUGAGCUACUUGUUAAUUGUAUUCCUCCUGAAAUCAUUCUGAAGAAGUUACUGUCAGAAUUACUGAAAAAGUUGGACUCUGAAUUGAAACAUGAAGUAUGUCAUUGGGCUGCAUACUAUGAGCACAGGAUGCGUCUUGGGCAGAAGGCCAUAUUCCACAUAGAAGCAUUUGUGGCUAAGUUCAUGAGCAUCUACAAGGGGUUCCUCAUUGCAACAUUUUCCUGAAUGAUCGCGAGCAGGAGUAACCCCACUAAAAGUUUUUGACAUUGGGAGGACUCUUCAUGUUUGCAUCGUCACCAAGCAGCUGAUGUUUAGCUUGAUCCCUUUGUUUAUUUUCUUUAUAAUAUGGUGGAAAAACCUGUGAAUUGUAUUAAUCUAGCGGCCCCAAACCUUGUAUUCCCAAAGAUUAAAAAAGGGACCUUGUCUGCCAUCCAACGAAGAAGAGUUAAUGAAAAUGUCUAAAUUCUUUUCCAAGUGCUCAGCAGUAUGCAGGCCCAGGGCUGCAAAUAUGAUUAGUGUCGUCCCCACCCAGGUAGGUCCGGUUCAUCCCCAUGUUUUAGACCCAUGGAUCAGGUUUGGGUCCGAUAUGCGAUCUAUUUGAAAAAUUGGGUUAGGUUGGCGUCAACGUCUUCCUACCCAAUCAAAUCCGUGGAUGAACUAGACCUGGAGUGGCUCAAACACUGGAUGACUCGGUCUGGGACCUACAGAUCAAUAAUAAAAGCCAUUCAUUGUCAUGAUCUGAAGAUAUCCACUGUGCUCAUGAAUGGAAGAUUCGCUAUAUAGCAAAAACUGCCCAAGCUUCAGGAAGCUGUUCCCAGAAUAUGUAGACAUGUACCAAAAACAAGAGGUCCCAAAGGAGUCUCUAGCAUCACAGCAGAUGAGUGAACAUAUGAGCUCUCCUCCUUCCACUGUGGUUGAACAAGUUGCAAGACGUCAAGGUGAAGACAGAAAGAUUAUACAAAAUGCUGGAAAGCGAAAGCAGAUCCCAUUCUGGUUACUGCUGUUGAUGGUGUCAGUCUUCGGCAUUGUGAUGGCUUGGCCCUGCUGCAACCGUGACAUGAUCAGCAGAGAUUGCAUACUGACGGUAUGUGAGUUCUGCUGCAAAACUUUGAUCUUGAAAAUGUCAAGGGUCUUAGAUUCGUGUACUGAAGAAUUUUAUUAAGUUGCUCGAUGUCCUUUGACAUCUCUUGAUGAGCAUGAUGUAAUAUUCUAGAUAUCUAGUUUGUUACUGACUAGCAGCAUGGUGCCCUGCUUUUCCUCCAUAUUUUCUGUGGGUAUUGUUUCACGACUUUUGAUGUGCCAAAUCUAUGAAUCAUUACGACAAGAUUCCAGGAUGUGAUUUGAUUUGCUGCGAGGUAAAAUGGUUGAGAAUUUCAUCUCUUAAAUAGAGAGUAUAUGCUGGCUUUUUUUCCUUGGUUAAUAUCUUUUAUUGACAGAGGCUCUGUAAUGGGAAAAUGAGCGACUUCAAUUAUCUCUCCAGGGGAAAACAUGCAUGAUUUCCAUCCCAUUCUAAAGAAGGUUAGCAACCAGGUGCUAUCAAUAUCUGGGUCUCUUUAUUUGGAGAUGCAUUCUCUAAGAUCUGAAUCCAUUUUGAAUCUAGUAUCUCUGGUUGCUAAGCAAAGGGAUGUUACUAUUAGAGCAGGUCUCAAUCAUUUUAUUAUGCGUUGCUCCCAUUUUAUGCACUAGUUGGCACGAUUCCCUCUAAAAGCUAGUUGCGAACUGUUUAUGACAAAAUUAUUAAAAAAAGACAUGAUAUUGGUUGGUGGAGUACGUGUCUGCAUGGGUAAGCUGAUAAACUACGCCCAAACCCAUGAAAUUGAUUGGUGUUUAGUCGUGGAAGGCUCCAAUAGUCAAUGUGUUGGGUCCCCAAAAGACAGUCCCAGAAAACACUCACAAGAGAAUUUCUUCUUCUAGGGGAUUGUAAAUUGAUUCAACUCCCUUCCUCUACAUCUCUGGGUGCAAAAUUUGGUUCUCAGUCAUGAUUUCAUACUUUACAUUAAAUGGCGAUUACUUUGUUUACAAAUGUUUGGAGACACUAGUAUCAGCACUGGCCUCUCCACAGCUCAAUCAUCAUGACCAUUAAUCUUAGCAAUCAUAAUAUAUGAUCAAAAAGGUGUGAAAAAAAAGGUAGAGGAGCCCCUCAAACCUAAAUUUCAACCUAGGAGUUAGU